UUAAGCGACUAAGCGUACACGGUGGAUGCCCUGGCAGUCAGAGGCGAUGAAGGACGUGCUAAUCUGCGAUAAGCGUCGGUGAGGUGAUAUGAACCGUUAUAACCGGCGAUUUCCGAAUGGGGAAACCCAGUGUGUUUCGACACACUAUCAUUAACUGAAUCCAUAGGUUAAUGAGGCGAACCGGGGGAACUGAAACAUCUAAGUACCCCGAGGAAAAGAAAUCAACCGAGAUUCCCCCAGUAGCGGCGAGCGAACGGGGAGGAGCCCAGAGCCUGAAUCAGUGUGUGUGUUAGUGGAAGCGUCUGGAAAGGCGUGCGAUACAGGGUGACAGCCCCGUACACAAAAAUGCACAUAUUGUGAGCUCGAUGAGUAGGGCGGGACACGUGGUAUCCUGUCUGAAUAUGGGGGGACCAUCCUCCAAGGCUAAAUACUCCUGACUGACCGAUAGUGAACCAGUACCGUGAGGGAAAGGCGAAAAGAACCCCGGCGAGGGGAGUGAAAAAGAACCUGAAACCGUGUACGUACAAGCAGUGGGAGCCUCUUUAUGGGGUGACUGCGUACCUUUUGUAUAAUGGGUCAGCGACUUAUAUUCUGUAGCAAGGUUAACCGAAUAGGGGAGCCGAAGGGAAACCGAGUCUUAACUGGGCGUUAAGUUGCAGGGUAUAGACCCGAAACCCGGUGAUCUAGCCAUGGGCAGGUUGAAGGUUGGGUAACACUAACUGGAGGACCGAACCGACUAAUGUUGAAAAAUUAGCGGAUGACUUGUGGCUGGGGGGGAAAGGCCAAUCAAACCGGGAGAUAGCUGGUUCUCCCCGAAAGCUAUUUAGGUAGCGCCUCGUGAAUUCAUCUCCGGGGGUAGAGCACUGUUUCGGCAAGGGGGUCAUCCCGACUUACCAACCCGAUGCAAACUGCGAAUACCGGAGAAUGUUAUCACGGGAGACACACGGCGGGUGCUAACGUCCGUCGUGAAGAGGGAAACAACCCAGACCGCCAGCUAAGGUCCCAAAGUCAUGGUUAAGUGGGAAACGAUGUGGGAAGGCCCAGACAGCCAGGAUGUUGGCUUAGAAGCAGCCAUCAUUUAAAGAAAGCGUAAUAGCUCACUGGUCGAGUCGGCCUGCGCGGAAGAUGUAACGGGGCUAAACCAUGCACCGAAGCUGCGGCAGCGACGCUUAUGCGUUGUUGGGUAGGGGAGCGUUCUGUAAGCCUGUGAAGGUGUGCUGUGAGGCAUGCUGGAGGUAUCAGAAGUGCGAAUGCUGACAUAAGUAACGAUAAAGCGGGUGAAAAGCCCGCUCGCCGGAAGACCAAGGGUUCCUGUCCAACGUUAAUCGGGGCAGGGUGAGUCGACCCCUAAGGCGAGGCCGAAAGGCGUAGUCGAUGGGAAACAGGUUAAUAUUCCUGUACUUGGUGUUACUGCGAAGGGGGGACGGAGAAGGCUAUGUUGGCCGGGCGACGGUUGUCCCGGUUUAAGCGUGUAGGCUGAUUUUCCAGGCAAAUCCGGAAAAUCAAGGCUGAGGCGUGAUGACGAGGCACUACGGUGCUGAAGCAACAAAUGCCCUGCUUCCAGGAAAAGCCUCUAAGCAUCAGGUAACAUCAAAUCGUACCCCAAACCGACACAGGUGGUCAGGUAGAGAAUACCAAGGCGCUUGAGAGAACUCGGGUGAAGGAACUAGGCAAAAUGGUGCCGUAACUUCGGGAGAAGGCACGCUGAUAUGUAGGUGAAGCGACUUGCUCGUGGAGCUGAAAUCAGUCGAAGAUACCAGCUGGCUGCAACUGUUUAUUAAAAACACAGCACUGUGCAAACACGAAAGUGGACGUAUACGGUGUGACGCCUGCCCGGUGCCGGAAGGUUAAUUGAUGGGGUUAGCGGCAACGCGAAGCUCUUGAUCGAAGCCCCGGUAAACGGCGGCCGUAACUAUAACGGUCCUAAGGUAGCGAAAUUCCUUGUCGGGUAAGUUCCGACCUGCACGAAUGGCGUAAUGAUGGCCAGGCUGUCUCCACCCGAGACUCAGUGAAAUUGAACUCGCUGUGAAGAUGCAGUGUACCCGCGGCAAGACGGAAAGACCCCGUGAACCUUUACUAUAGCUUGACACUGAACAUUGAGCCUUGAUGUGUAGGAUAGGUGGGAGGCUUUGAAGUGUGGACGCCAGUCUGCAUGGAGCCGACCUUGAAAUACCACCCUUUAAUGUUUGAUGUUCUAACGUGGGCCCGUAAUCCGGGUUGCGGACAGUGUCUGGUGGGUAGUUUGACUGGGGCGGUCUCCUCCUAAAGAGUAACGGAGGAGCACGAAGGUUGGCUAAUCCUGGUCGGACAUCAGGAGGUUAGUGCAAUGGCAUAAGCCAGCUUGACUGCGAGCGUGACGGCGCGAGCAGGUGCGAAAGCAGGUCAUAGUGAUCCGGUGGUUCUGAAUGGAAGGGCCAUCGCUCAACGGAUAAAAGGUACUCCGGGGAUAACAGGCUGAUACCGCCCAAGAGUUCAUAUCGACGGCGGUGUUUGGCACCUCGAUGUCGGCUCAUCACAUCCUGGGGCUGAAGUAGGUCCCAAGGGUAUGGCUGUUCGCCAUUUAAAGUGGUACGCGAGCUGGGUUUAGAACGUCGUGAGACAGUUCGGUCCCUAUCUGCCGUGGGCGCUGGAGAACUGAGGGGGGCUGCUCCUAGUACGAGAGGACCGGAGUGGACGCAUCACUGGUGUUCGGGUUGUCAUGCCAAUGGCACUGCCCGGUAGCUAAAUGCGGAAGAGAUAAGUGCUGAAAGCAUCUAAGCACGAAACUUGCCCCGAGAUGAGUUCUCCCUGACUCCUUGAGAGUCCUGAAGGAACGUUGAAGACGACGACGUUGAUAGGCCGGGUGUGUAAGCGCAGCGAUGCGUUGAGCUAACCGGUACUAAUGAACCGUGAGGCUUAACCUU
RNAcentral lists this ribosomal RNA (2903 nucleotides) under Escherichia coli KTE191. RNAcentral's name for it is "bacterial LSU rRNA". It matches the Rfam family "Bacterial large subunit ribosomal RNA". Lineage: Bacteria; Pseudomonadati; Pseudomonadota; Gammaproteobacteria; Enterobacterales; Enterobacteriaceae. The record is from RNAcentral.